GCCGCCCUGGGUGGGACCUUGCUUCCCCGAGCUGAGGCGGCGGGUCCCCCGAGGAGGCAGCCGUUCAACUGCACCCCCUCCUGCCCGAGCACCAGUUCGGCGCUUCAGUGAUAGCUCAGGUUCCCUCACCCCACCCGGACACCGGCCUCCUCACCGGACACCCCCUCCACCACUGCUGCUGCCAAGGUCUCACAGUGACCCAGGCAUUACCACCUCCAGCGACAUCGCUGACUUCAGGGACCUUUAUACCAAAGUGCUUGAGGAAGAAGCUGCCUCCAUCUCCUCUGCAGACACAGGUCAGGCGUGUGGGUAGGCAGCUGAAGGGCAUGGUGCCACUGGGUAGCCCACACACAUUUCUUGCUUUUUCUCAGCAGGGCUCUGCUCUGAAGCCUGCCUUUUCCGCCUAGCCCGCUGCCCUUCCCCCAAGUUGCUACGUGCUCACUCAGCUGAGAAACGCCGCCCAGUGCCCACCUUCCAGAAGGUUCCUCUGCCUUCAGGUCCUGCACCUGCCCACUCUCUAGGAGACCUGAAAGGAAGCUGGCCAGGCCGGGGCCUGGUCACUCGUUUCCUCCAGCUGUCUAGGAAGUCCCCAGACCCUGCAGGAACUGGAGCCCACGGACAUAAGCAAGUGCGCAGGAGCCCAUGGGGACGACCAGGUCGGGAGAGCCUCCACCUUCGCAGCUGUGGUGAUUUGAGCUCUGGCUCCUCCUUAAGGCGACUCCUGUCUGCCCGCAGGCUGGAGCAUGGCAUACGCCCACA
Molecule: long non-coding RNA, 759 nt
Filed under: Rattus norvegicus (Norway rat)
Lineage: Eukaryota; Metazoa; Chordata; Mammalia; Rodentia; Muridae
Description: long non-coding RNA NONRATT015440
Source: RNAcentral